GCGAGAGUGGCGGAAUUGGUAGACGCACCAGAUUUAGGAUCUGGCGGUUAACCCCGUGGGGGUUCGAGUCCCCCCUUUCGCA
This 82-nucleotide transfer RNA is filed under the name Rhodanobacter fulvus Jip2. It matches the Rfam family "tRNA". Rfam says of the family: Transfer RNA (tRNA) molecules are approximately 80 nucleotides in length. Lineage: Bacteria; Pseudomonadati; Pseudomonadota; Gammaproteobacteria; Lysobacterales; Rhodanobacteraceae. The record is from Rfam by way of RNAcentral.